RNAcentral lists this ribosomal RNA (490 nucleotides) under uncultured bacterium. RNAcentral describes it as "partial 16S ribosomal RNA". It matches the Rfam family "Bacterial small subunit ribosomal RNA", at positions 30 to 507 of the family's 1533-position model. The record is from RNAcentral.
AUUGAACGCUGGCGGCAGGCCUAACACAUGCAAGUCGAACGGUAACAGGAAGCAGCUUGCUGCUUCGCUGACGAGUGGCGGACGGGGGAGUAAUGUCUGGGAAGCUGCCUGAUGGAGGGGGAUAACUACUGGAAACGGUAGCUAAUACCGCAUAAUGUCGCAAGCCCAAAGAGGGGGACCUUCGGGCCUCUUGCCACCGGAUGUGCCCAGAUGGGAUUAGCUAGUUGGUGGGGUAAAGGCUCACCAAGGCGACGAUCCCUAGCUGGUCUGAGAGGAUGACCAGCCACACUGGAACUGAGACACGGUCCAGACUCCUACGGGAGGCAGCAGUGGGGAAUAUUGCACAAUGGGCGCAAGCCUGAUGCAGCCAUGCCGCGUGUAUGAAGAAGGCCUUCGGGUUGUAAAGUACUUUCAGCGGGGAGGAAGGGAGUAAAGUUAAUACCUUUGCUCAUUGACGUUACCCGCAGAAGAAGCACCGGCUAACUCCGUG